This 342-nucleotide ribosomal RNA is filed under the name Alexandrium margalefii. Its description in RNAcentral is "partial Bacterial small subunit ribosomal RNA". It matches the Rfam family "Bacterial small subunit ribosomal RNA", at positions 1 to 344 of the family's 1533-position model. The record is from RNAcentral. Lineage: Eukaryota; Dinophyceae; Gonyaulacales; Pyrocystaceae.
CUGAAGAGUUUGAUCAUGGCUCAGAUUGAACGCUGGCGGCAGGCUUAAGACAUGCAAGUCGAGCGGAAACGAUGGGAGCUUGCUCCCAGGCGUCGAGCGGCGGACGGGUGAGUAACGCGUAGGAAUCUGCCCAGUAGCGGGGGAUAGCUCGGGGAAACUCGAAUUAAUACCGCAUACGCCCCACGGGGGAAAGGCCGGGAUCUUCGGACCGGUCGCUACUGGAUGAGCCUGCGUUGGAUUAGCUUGUUGGUGGGGUAAAGGCCUACCAAGGCGACGAUCCAUAGCUGGUCUGAGAGGAUGAUCAGCCACACUGGGACUGAGACACGGCCCAGACUCCUACGG